AUACAGGGGGAUAACAGCUAGAAAUGGCUGCUAAUACCGCAUAAGCGCACAGCGCUGCAUAGUACAGUGUGAAAAACUCCGGUGGUAUGAGAUGGACCCGCGUCUGAUUAGGUAGUUGGUGAGGUAACGGCCCACCAAGCCGACGAUCAGUAGCCGACCUGAGAGGGUGACCGGCCACAUUGGGACUGAGACACGGCCCAAACUCCUACGGGAGGCAGCAGUGGGGAAUAUUGGACAAUGGGGGAAACCCUGAUCCAGCGACGCCGCGUGAGUGAAGAAGUAUUUCGGUAUGUAAAGCUCUAUCAGCAGGGAAGAAAAUGACGGUACCUGACUAAGAAGCCCCGGCUAACUACGUGCCAGCAGCCGCGGUAAUACGUAGGGGGCAAGCGUUAUCCGGAUUUACUGGGUGUAAAGGGAG
This 418-nucleotide ribosomal RNA is filed under the name uncultured Clostridium sp. RNAcentral describes it as "bacterial SSU rRNA". It matches the Rfam family "Bacterial small subunit ribosomal RNA", at positions 133 to 569 of the family's 1533-position model. Lineage: Bacteria; Bacillati; Bacillota; Clostridia; Eubacteriales; Clostridiaceae. The record is from RNAcentral.